This 899-nucleotide long non-coding RNA is filed under the name Cavia porcellus (domestic guinea pig). Its description in RNAcentral is "lncRNA (ENSCPOG00000036715.1)". Lineage: Eukaryota; Metazoa; Chordata; Mammalia; Rodentia; Caviidae. The record is from RNAcentral.
GGCAGGGGACUCCUGCUGCCGGAGGGGCCGUGUUAUCCACGCCAAAGCCAGCUCUGAGUAAGGGAACCAGGUUUACCCUGGCCAGACUGAAAACCUCAUAGUUUCUCCUUCUGAAUUUUUACUAUUUCUUCUUUAGAAACAAAUUUGCAGCUGGAAAGUGUUAGAGCUUUUCACUCCUAACUACCGAGUUAGGUUGCUCUCUUUACAUUUCCAAACUCCUAAAGUCAGGGUGAAGGGGGCAAACAGAUCUAGAAUGCUCUUUCUUAAAAAGAAACCUAUUAUAUCCUAAGUGUUCCGUAGUAAAGUAAGAGGGCUGUGGUAGGCCAGAGCAGAGAAUAAGGCGAGAGCUGUGGCAGGCAUGAGACAACCUGAAAUCAAAGACGCAGGAAAAUUUCUGUGCAGCCGGGAAACUAGGAAACCUAAAAUUCCUCAAAUUCAAGGCUUUGCCCCUAAACCGAGUCAAGCACCAGAAUUCCAUUUCUGGCUAUUUUUAGGUGAGGAACCUAAAAAUCAAAUGCACUAGCUGGCGGGGAAAACUCAAGGAGUGAACUGGGAAGUAAAUAACGUCUCUUGGGCCUCUCUGAAAAAUGUGCCGGGAGAAACAAAAACGGGGUCACCGGGCAGAAGCUCCACUAAGGAAAUUGCAGGCAAUCUGGGAGCGCGAAACCUGUGGAAGUGCGGAGUCUGAAGCCGGCUGGGUCGGCGUCGGCUGCCCAGCCCGGAGCCUCCGGCCCGCGGAGGCAGAGCCUGGCUUUCCCGCGCCUGGGACCUCCAGGGCGCUUAACCUGCGGGGACAGAGGGCUGCAUCGCCGGGCGUGCCAGGGCUCCUCAGCGCCCAGAGUCACCUGCAAGGAAAGAAGGAGAGAUCUGAACAAGUUGGUAAGCACUUGAGCACCUGA